RNAcentral lists this unclassified non-coding RNA (1389 nucleotides) under uncultured Neocallimastigales. RNAcentral describes it as "partial contains small subunit ribosomal RNA, internal transcribed spacer 1, 5.8S ribosomal RNA, internal transcribed spacer 2, and large subunit ribosomal RNA". The stretch from base 608 to 1389 matches the Rfam family "Eukaryotic large subunit ribosomal RNA", at positions 1 to 630 of the family's 3401-position model. Lineage: Eukaryota; Fungi; Neocallimastigomycota; Neocallimastigomycetes; Neocallimastigales. The record is from RNAcentral.
UUUCCGUAGGUGAACCUGCGGAAGGAUCAUUAAAAAAUGUGGUACCAAUUAUUGGUACUAUUAAUCAUCCUACCCUUUGUGAUUUGUUUGUAUGAAUUUUUUAAAUGGGUCUUUCCCUAAGUUGGAUUGUUAGUAAAAUACAAAAAGACUUAGGGGAAUGACUUUUUUAAAAGACUUUUUUUUAAUUAAAACUUUUUGUAUUCAUUUGUCUAAAAUUUAUUUUUAUAAUAUAAAAACAACUUUUGACAAUGGAUCUCUUGGUUCUCGCAACGAUGAAGAACGCAGCAAAAUGCGAUAAGUAGUGUGAAUUGCAGAAUACGUGAAUCAUCGAAUCUUCGAACGCAUAUUGCACUUUUUUAGUUUACUAAAAAAGUAUGUCUGUUUGAGUAUCAGUAAAAUAUUCUCACAAAAACAAUUUGUUUUUUGUGGUUAUGAGUGUUUUACAACGAUAAACAAGUUGUUUCACUUUAAAUUCUUUUUAAUUGAAUUUUACCAAUUCAUAAAUUAAAAUUGGAUAAAAUUUUCCUUUAACGAGGAAUAACCUAAACAAUUUUAAAUUUUAUGGAUUAAUAAACAUUCAUCAAAGGAAUCUAUACAACAAAUAACUUGAUCUCAAAUCAGAUAAGAGUACCCGCUGAACUUAAGCAUAUCAAUAAGCGGAGGAAAAGAAACUAACAAGGAUUCCCUUAGUAACGGCGAGUGAAGCGGGAAGAGCUCAAAUUUGGAAUCUUCAAGGUUUGACCUUGACGAAUUGUAGUUUAUAGAAGUGUUUUCUGUUGGAGUUUUGGUAAAAGUUCUUUGGAAUAGGACAUCAUAGAGGGUGAGAAUCCCGUAUUUGACCAUGACUUUCCAGCUGUGUGAUACACUUUCAAAGAGUCGGAUUGUUUGGGAAUGCAGUCCAAAAUGGGUGGUAAAUUUCAUCUAAAGCUAAAUAUUGGCGAGAGACCGAUGGCGAACAAGUACCGUGAGGGAAAGAUGAAAAGAACUUUGAAAAGAGAGUUAAACAGUACGUGAAAUUGUCAAAAGGGAAGCGUUUGACACCAGUGUUGUUUUCUCGAAAAUCAAUUUAAUGAGUUCUUGUUUUUAAGUUAUUGUGACUUUAUCAGCGCAUUUCUUAUUUUACUUGACUCAUUGAAUGCACUUUUCGUUUAACAAGUCAACAUCAAUUUCUUUGGUGGUAAAAAGUUUAAAGGAAGGUGGCUUGGACUUCGGUUCAAGUGUUUAUAGCCUUUUUUCUAUGCCAUCGGAGAGAUUGAGGUCUGCAGCGUAGAUCCUUCGGGGUUAGAUACCUUUGUGCUAAGUUAUAGUUUUUUAUAGACAACUUGUUGACUAUAAUUAACCCUGUAAUUUACUCGCUUAGGCUAUUUUACCUACGCUUAGGAUGUUGAG